AGUGAACGCUGGCGGUAGGCCUAACACAUGCAAGUCGAACGGCAGCACAGUAAGAGCUUGCUCUUACGGGUGACGAGUGGCGGACGGGUGAGGAAUACAUCGGAAUCUACUUUUUCGUGGGGGAUAACGUAGGGAAACUUACGCUAAUACCGCAUACGACCUACGGGUGAAAGCAGGGGAUCUUCGGACCUUGCGCGAUUGAAUGAGCCGAUGUCGGAUUAGCUAGUUGGCGGGGUAAAGGCCCACCAAGGCGACGAUCCGUAGCUGGUCUGAGAGGAUGGUCAGCCACACUGGAACUGAGACACGGUCCAGACUCCUACGGGAGGCAGCAGUGGGGAAUAUUGGGCAAUGGGCGCAAGCCUGAUCCAGCCAUACCGCGUGGGUGAAGAAGGCCUUCGGGUUGUAAAGCCCUUUUGUUGGGAAAGAAAAGCAGCAGGUUAAUACCCCGCUGUUCUGACGGUACCCAAAGAAUAAGCACCGGCUAACUUCGUG
Molecule: ribosomal RNA, 492 nt
Filed under: uncultured bacterium
Lineage: Bacteria
Description: partial 16S ribosomal RNA
Rfam family: Bacterial small subunit ribosomal RNA
Source: RNAcentral